This 429-nucleotide ribosomal RNA is filed under the name Fusobacteriota bacterium. RNAcentral's name for it is "Fusobacteria bacterium partial 16S ribosomal RNA". It matches the Rfam family "Bacterial small subunit ribosomal RNA", at positions 355 to 776 of the family's 1533-position model. Lineage: Bacteria; Fusobacteriati; Fusobacteriota. The record is from RNAcentral.
UGGGGAAUAUUGCACAAUGGGCGCAAGCCUGAUGCAGCCAUGCCGCGUGUAUGAAGAAGGCCUUCGGGUUGUAAAGUACUUUCAGCGGGGAGGAAGGGAGUAAAGUUAAUACCUUUGCUCAUUGACGUUACCCGCAGAAGAAGCACCGGCUAACUCCGUGCCAGCAGCCGCGGUAAUACGGAGGGUGCAAGCGUUAAUCGGAAUUACUGGGCGUAAAGCGCACGCAGGCGGUUUGUUAAGUCAGAUGUGAAAUCCCCGGGCUCAACCUGGGAACUGCAAAUGAUACUGGCAAGCUUGAGUCUCGUAGAGGGGGGUAGGAUUCCAGGUGUAGCGGUGAAAUGCGUAGAGGUCUGGAGGAAUACCGGUGGCGAAGGCGGCCCCCUGGACGAAGACUGACGCUCAGGUGCGAAAGCGUGGGGAGCAAACAGG